This is a long non-coding RNA of Capsicum annuum, 634 nucleotides long. RefSeq lists it as uncharacterized. Lineage: Eukaryota; Viridiplantae; Streptophyta; Magnoliopsida; Solanales; Solanaceae. The transcript has 2 exons. The record is from RefSeq and is a predicted model, not a curated record.
CACAAUGUCCAUAAACAUACGUCCACUCUCCUCCCUACAUCCCUUGUUACUGCCAAACUGUUGGAAUUCAAAACUAUCACGGACUGCGAUUCAACUUCUGACACUCCUAUUAUUGCUAUUAAUAUCAAAUGGUUUCCACCUCUUGCUACGUAUUACAAGCUCAAUGUUGAUGGCUCUCAUAAAAAAACUCACUACUAGAGGAGGCAUUGUCGGGGUCAUCCUCGAUUCCAAUGGCAAUUGGAUUUUUGGUUUUGCUGGACUUUGCGAUGCCAGAAAUGCUGUGCAUUCUGGCCUUACAUCAAGGCCUUGAAAUAGCUGUGAACAGAAAUUUACUUCCCCGACUGUAGAAGUUACUCUCGAAGAAACUGGGGAAUUCAGUACUCAUCCACAACUUUUAGCAAGCAAGUAGGGUGGCUAAUGGGCUGUGUAAGAUGGGUGCAUCUUUUCCAGGAAACCAAGUGCAGUUUUUGACAAGUCCUUCAAGCUCCAUUUUGUCUUUCAUUGAAGCUGACUCUCUUCAAGUUUGUCUCCAGAACUGCUUGUAAUAAGUUAGCUAGCUUAGGGAAUCCAUUUGUACUUUCUAACUCUCACUCUGCAACUGCUAAGUUGCCUAUGAACUCUACUAUGUUUUUAU